GGAAUAUUUGCAUAUAAUGAGAUAUCUUGGGGAUAUGAUCCAAGUCUAAACAUGAAAUUCGCUUAUUUUUUUUUUAAUUUUUUAAUAUUUAUUUUUUAGUUCUCGGCGGACACAACAUCUUUGUUCGUAUGUGGUGCUGAGGAUCGAACCCGGGCCGCACACAUGCCAGGCUAGCGCACUACUGCCUGAGCCACAUCCCCUGCCCCUGUGAAAUUUGCUUAUGUUUCUUAUACUCCUUUAACAGAGAGCCCAAAGGUAAUUUUAUACUGUAUUUUUAGUGUGUUCGCAUUUUAAAUGUGACCAAUCACAUGUGGUCAGGUGUGGAACUCUCCACUUGUGAUGUCAGGCUAGUGCACAAAAACUUUUGGAUUUCAGAGCAUUUUGAAUUUAGGGGUUUGGGGUCGAGAAUGCUCAACCUGUAUCAAAUUUUCACAGCCCUUAAAGAACUAAUGGAUGAGAAAUGAUUGCUAACAGAAAAAAACAUAGACAGCCUGAAAAUAUGUGCCACCUGUUUGUCAAAAGAAGAACGUGCCCCAUUCAUGAAGACUCGCCAAAGAGUAAACUUGAAUCUCAUCAAGCCUCUCAUUCCAAUUACCAAUUUCAGAAAAUUUAGAGGACAGAGGAACAGAUUACACUAUGCUAAAGGAAUGCAAACAAGAGAAAAGCAAACUGUGAGAAACUCUACAGAACAAAUGACCUGAUCUCUUUAAUAAUUAAUUUGCAAAAAAGGGGAGAACCCUAUAGAUCAAAAGAGAUUUAAAAGCAUAUCAACCAAUUGCAACCUGUGGAUUUUAUUUGGAUCUUAAUAUUUUUCAAACGUAAAAUAACAUUUAUGAGAAAAUUGACCAUCUGAACAGUGACUAUAUAUUUGAUUAUGUUAAGGAAUUGCUGUUAAUUUUAUAGAUUGGUUGUUAAUAUUGUGGUUAUGUAUUAAAAACCUUCUCUUCUGUUGAUUAAAUUAUUUAGUCUCCAAGAUUUGCUUUAAAAUAACAUGCAANUGACCCAAGGGCAUGUAACCACUG
Molecule: long non-coding RNA, 1022 nt
Filed under: Marmota monax (woodchuck)
Lineage: Eukaryota; Metazoa; Chordata; Mammalia; Rodentia; Sciuridae
Source: RNAcentral